UAUACGCUGUGAGAGCAUGCGUAGCCACGGGGUGGUACCUGGGGCCACACUGUGCUGUUAGAGGGCAUAAGACCCGUGGGAUUUGCGGAGGCCACAUGGGUAGACGGAAACAGGACUGGCCCGGGGCCUGGCGCACCUCUGGAACUCCAGCCAACUUCAUGUAUAAGAAAGCCUGGAACCCGUACUUCUAUCAGGAGUCAGAUGAACGAGAAUGAAGAGCUCACCUUCGGAACAGACCUGGCUCCUAGAAACUGCCCCAAAAGAUGACCUGAGAAACUAAGAACUUCAGCUUUCAGACCAACCCUUCACACAGGAUGUCAGUUUUAUACUGUCUUGUCUUCACAGCUACAAUGAAAAAUCUCCUGAUGGUUCCUGAAGAUCACUUUUACUACAGAGUCUUCCUUCUCUUCUCCUGGAUUCUGAGUGGUUCGAUCUAUACUGCUGAACACCUGGAAGGCAAGUAAUCAGUGCUUGUUAACAUCUUCCAGGAAGAGAGUUUGUCAGAAAAAGCCCACGUCUUUGCACAAAAAAACUUCAGAGUAUGACUCAAGUCUGAACUGGAAUCGUGUGCAGAGAAAGUAGUUUGCUAGGUUGUUUACUUGAAUCCUGAGAGGCAGUGGCUGUGUGUGUGCAUCCCCACCCACUCACCACAUCGCAUUGUACCUGCAAAUAAAAUCUGCAGAUACACUGGGUUCUCUAGACCUGAGGAUCAGUGCACAUCUCAGAUUACUACUUAACCAUGAGGUCAAUCAGAAAAGAAAAUAAUGGAGAAAAAGCCUUCAUGGCCACCAGUCGCAAGGAGGAAGGAGAAAAAUGAAUUGGAAGUGGCAGCAAAGAGAAGAAUACAUCAUCUGUUCCGAGUCUUGGGCAGGGUGAGUGGUGAGCAGGGAUGCAGAACGUCUCUGGUCAUGAGAGAUGGAAGUAUUUGCUUGGCUUACAAAUCACAGUCGCAGGCUGGCUGCUUCAAAGGCGAAGGGGCUCCGCCCACUUGAAGCUGUGGAAACUGUCAGGUUGGAAGCCCAGUGCAGGAAGCACACACCUCUUACUGACUCUGCCUAUGGCUGCUCUCAUGGGAAUGGCACUCUCAUAAUCUACUGGGAUUGGGAGGAAGAUGGCCAAGAACAGGGGAAGAAGGAAAAGGAAAUAGUAGCCAAGGACAAGAGGGGAACAGUGUGUGGGGGUGGGCUUUGAUGGGCCAGAGCGCAGGACCUGGUCUAAGCCUGCACUAGGAUUAGCUGCUACCUUCUGCAGGGAAGUCCCUACCUCUGGGCUGGGCUGUGUCUGUAAACAGGGAGGGCAGUGCUGGGCAAAAUGCUGAUGCCCUCUAGGUAAUCACUUAGGAAAAGCGACAGAGCACUUUAACAUCACGACAUGCAGUAGAAAAGCUAAACGCUACUCACGCAAAAUGCCAUGGCAACAGAAAAUAUGUAGCUAGUGAGACAAAGGGGAGGUAGGCUUCCCUCAAGGUUUAUUUCUAGGGCUCCACCUUGUCUCAAAACUAUCAGUUUUCUUUGCUUUUUCUCCCUAUUGCUAUCAACAAGAAAGCGCCUUUCUCAAGCACCAAUCUUAUGAGCCUCCACCACUUCCAAAAUUCUAGCAUGGCUUCCUUCUGCUUUUCCCCACAACUUACAGUGUGUCUUCCUGAUUAUGAGACUUUCCCAUUCCCCAAGGAGCUGGCCCUAAGCAUCCUUGUGUGCCUCGAGCUUUGAGGCUGCUCUGUGCCCGGCACAGGGUGAAGAGCACAGUUCUCAUUCCAAGAGGAAAGAGAUGGGGUGGGGCCUCCACAGCCCGACUCGUGAGCUAGGACGGGGGCUGUGCAAGGCCAGGUCGUCGUGGCAAUGGCUACCACAGGCUCCAAAGAGCGGACUCUGCACACCAGGCUAUGCCUCUGAGAGAAAAGGACUAACUGCAGAGAGACAGAAACAUAACAUUCACAGCGAGGUCGGGAGCCUGCACCAAGUAGGGGCGAGGGUCACUCUUCCUAAACAGGAUUUUUAGGCACAAGAGGCCUCAGACCCCCAAAAGCGCGGGGGAUUUACAAUCCUGUCCAGACGUUGCAAGGGUGCCAGCCGUCUGGCUGGUGGCAGGUCCUCCGAGACCGACCUGGGCGCAUGCCACACUUACUUUUG
This is a non-coding RNA of Oryctolagus cuniculus (rabbit), 2129 nucleotides long. Lineage: Eukaryota; Metazoa; Chordata; Mammalia; Lagomorpha; Leporidae. The record is from RefSeq and is a predicted model, not a curated record.